This 465-nucleotide ribosomal RNA is filed under the name uncultured bacterium. RNAcentral describes it as "bacterial SSU rRNA". It matches the Rfam family "Bacterial small subunit ribosomal RNA", at positions 330 to 793 of the family's 1533-position model. The record is from RNAcentral.
GCCAGACUCCUACGGGAGGCAGCAGUGAGGAAUAUUGGUCAAUGGCCGAGAGGCUGAACCAGCCAAGUCGCGUGAGGGAUGACGGCCCUACGGGUUGUAAACCUCUAUUGUCGGGGAGCAAAGAGAGUCACGCGUGGCUCAUUGAGAGUACCCGAAGAAAAAGCAUCGGCUAACUCCGUGCCAGCAGCCGCGGUAAAACGGAGGAUGCGAGCGUUAUCCGGAUUUAUUGGGUUUAAAGGGUGCGCAGGCGGAAUGUCAAGUCAGCGGUAAAAUUUCGGGGCUCAACCCCGUCGUGCCGUUGAAACUGGCGUUCUUGAGUGAGCGAGAAGUAUGCUGAAUGCGUGGUGUAGCGGUGAAAUGCAUAGAUAUCACGCAGAACUCCGAUUGCGAAGGCAGCAUACCGGCGCUCAACUGACGCUCAUGCACGAAAGCGUGGGUAUCGAACAGGAUUAGAUUCCCUCGUAA